GGUUGUGUCCCUGCUACUCUUCAUUUCCUCUCUCAAUGAACCUCUCUGGAUUAAGCAUGCAAGAAGCCCUCCUGCUCUUCAUUCUGAGACACCAUAUGACAUGGAAUAUCCUGUUGUUCGCUUGGGGUCAUCUGCCCUGGCUGAGUCUCCUCCUGGUUUCUAAUGCACCCCCAGCCUCAUCACCUGCCGGACUAAACUCAGCUGCAAACAAGAAACUGUUGCUGCCUGAAGGUGAUGAUCUGUGAUAAACAAAUUAGCAGUCUAUCCCAGUCCGUGAAUGUAAUGAGAUAUCUUUGUUUCUGAUAAACUGGAAAUCACUACAGUAACAGUAUAUGUGCAGCUGUUACUAUUCCUGAGGUUAAACAUUAUGGAAUCCUCAAAGAAAAAAUGUUUCAAAGCCUGUUUAUACACACUGACAAGGAGCUGUAGAAACAAGGAAGCAGAAUUCUUAAGGUCAUGUAACUAACUGCAUGUACUUAAUCACCUGUCAUUAAAAGCACUUGAAGACCAAUAAACUUCUGGCAGUCAUCCUGGACUCUGAAAUGAACAGAUGCUGGCACCUGAGGUAGAUGUUAACACUUCUUUGAUGUGGAGCAUUUCUUCCUCUGUUCUAUGGCAAAUCAUUCUAGUUGCGCUAAUUUACAUGAAAAUGCCUCACAAAUAGUUCAGCGCAUAAAAUAAAUGUCCAGUGCAAGAUGGCAACAGACAAAUAUUUGGACCUUAAAGAACCAUCCUUGAAGGGAAAAGAAUCCAUUUGAUCCAUUAAUAAUGAGAACUUACUCUUUGAUCCUUUCUCUUCCUGUUACAUCAGAGAAAAGCAUGAAAUAAAACAUCUUGUGAUAUGUGUCAGGUGUUGCCAAAACAGCAAGCAAAGCACUUAUAGUCUUGAAAACAAAAAUGUUAGGCAAGAUCUAAAAUAGAUUCAGUAUCAAAACUCCACAGCCCAAAACAACGUUUCUCAGUGCCUUCUCUCUCUCAUGCUUUGGAUCGCAUAAAUUAAAUGCUCAUGAAAGAUAAAAAUACUCUCAUAAUAAAAAAAUAAUAAUAAAAAAGAGACUGUGAGUCUUUCAUAUUCAUAGUAAAAAUAAUAUUUUGUUUAUUGGGUGAGAAAAAUAAUUCAGGAUUCACCAACCAGUAUGAGAUUUUCUAAGCUGUAGUCAACUUGACAAUUGCGUGGCAGAAUUCAUAAAAACUUUUCAUAAACAUUUCUUGACUUAGCAAGUGAAGACUUCACAUCUGUUGGCAAGUUUUGGUUUUUCUUAAGACUAGCCAGACACACACAUCUGUUCUCCCGACUAGGAAAACCUGAAUAUGGAUCUUGCAACCAUAUGUCAUCAGGACAUUGUGCCAAUACAUUUGAAGUGCAGGUCCAAGAUCGGCACCAAAGAAGAAGGGCAGCUGAGGGCAACAGAGCUUUAAUUGCAGAGGGGGUUGUGAGGCAGAUUGUUUGGAUACUGCUAAGGAAUAACAUCAUUGCUUAACCAGAAAUUUUACUAUAACAGUGUUCACAUAUAAACAUUUGAUAUGAAAUGUCAAAAUCACAACUUUAUUUAGAUUUCUUUUAAGAUGUUGGUUGCUUAAAAAUAAUGUAUAUUUAUUAUUUUUGUGCAAAUGUGAAACAAAGAAAAUAUCAAACUACUGCAAAUUUUUCAUGGAUGAAAAGCCUGGUCACUGACCCUUUUUGCUCAUGUUAUAACAUAUCUCAUUAGAAAGACAUAUACAAAAAUUAUUUUGAUUAAAUCUAUAUGGUACUAGUGACAUAAAUUGACAAACUUAGUGUUACAUGGAACUUUUUUUAUGUAUACUUCAUUGGUCCUAUAAUUCCUUAGGAAGUGGCUAUGUGACUGGGUACAAUGGAAGAUACCUCAGUGAGUAAAGCUUCCUGAAAAGAGUUUUGAACAAGGAGCUAUAUGAUUGAGGCAGCAUAAUAAGAGUAAAAUGGGGCUUACUAGAACACUAUUAGAUCAUAUUGACCUGCCCUUUGUCAUGUAUCUACAUAUAAACUGAUGUGUAAGAUUGAUAUUAAAAAAAACCAGAUUAAAAAUUAGUUAAUUCCAUACCAAUUUUACAAUUAUAAAUUAAACUUACUCAGUUUAUACUGAAGAAGACUAGAUGUGCUUACAUGGUCUGUUUUGUUCUAUUGACUCAGUUUUCCAUGUCAUUGAUCCCCUGCCAAGAAGUUGCAAUAAAUGACUAUGGAAAGGAGGAAGAGAUUGGUAGCACCUUAAAACACCAUCACGGUUCUGAAUAAAAUACCAUAAUCCUUCUCCAUUAACAAAAACUAGGAUCAAAACUGGUUUCUGUUGGUUUAAAAAACAGGUCAGUGUGCUUCAUGCAAGAAACAUGCAACUUUCCAGAGAAUGUUACCAAGAUUUGUUGCUUCUAUUUCAUUAAAGCUACAGUUUUGAAAUGCCCAGUGGGUGUAAGAUUAGUGUAACGCAAUUUCUCUCCACAACACCAAUGUGCCUGUUUUCAUGCUCCAAUUGUCUGUCAGAUUUCCCUGAAGACUGGUAAAAAAAUGUCUGUCAAAACUUGGACAUUCCUCAAAGCAAAUGACUCACAUAGAAAAAAUUGAAUAAUAAUCAAAAGAAUAGUAGUGUGAUUAACAACACAGAAGAAUGAAAGCAAAAUGUAUACCUUAAAAGAAAACUUCAGAGAGUUUAAAAAUCACUAUGGGAGAAUUAGCUCAUCUGAAAUUGCUAACCUUAAAAGAAAACUGUAGGGAGUUUAAAAAUCACUAUAGGAGAAUUAACUCAUCUGAAAUUGCUAACUAACUCCACAAAUCCUAUGAGAUACUUAGAAGCUGUAUGCAUUUUAUUGGAAUUUUUCCAGCUAAGGAUUUAUUAAUAAUAAUAUAAAUUCUUUUCUAUAUCUCUUUCAAGUAAUGUCUCAUAAAAACUCAAUCCAGUGCAUUGUAUGCAAUCUGUAAACAAGCCUCUGUAUGCUAUGGAGGGGCAAAUUAAGGACAAAUAAGAGCUCAAGGCUUAAGGUGCAUUAUAUGUUAGGAUAUAAUUUAUUAGAUGUUUAUUUCUUUAUAUUUAGUAAGUUAUCUUUAGUAAGUUACUUUGAACAAAGAUCCAUAUUUCUACAUUUAAUGUUAAAUACUACAGAAAGACAAAGACAGAAAUUAGAGGUAGAUGAACCAUCAGUGAAUGUAGAGGGACAUAUGCCUGUCUCUUGCUGUAGCUGUAGAGAUAUAUGCCUUCAAUCUGCACUAAUUGGGGGCUCCUAGAAGUGAAAUUUUCUUUCUUAUGGAUAUUAAUUUCCUGUAGUGGUCCAGGAACUUUUAGUUAUCAUUAUCAAAUGUCAGAGUUACAAAGUUACCGAAGAACUGACAGCAAGUUUGCCCUUGUGACUGUGAAUCUCUAAUCAAUACCUGCAGAUGAUCUCUAAUGAACAGUUUUCAAAUGAUAGGUAGUCUCAGUUUUGAUGUUCCAUUCUUUCUUCAAAUUUGUCAUGGCUGAAUCAUUUGACUUCUUGAU
Molecule: long non-coding RNA, 3482 nt
Organism: Motacilla alba alba
Lineage: Eukaryota; Metazoa; Chordata; Aves; Passeriformes; Motacillidae
Exons: 6
Source: RefSeq, a predicted model, not a curated record